GUCCAUGCAGUAAAACGAUGUUCACUAGGUGUCGACUCCUUUAUUGGGGCCGGUGCCGCAGCUAACGCAUUAAGUGAACCACCUGGGGAGUACAGUCGCAAGGCUGAAACUCAAAGGAAUUGACGGGGACCCGCACAAACGGUGGAGCAUGUGGUUUAAUACGACGAUACGCGUGGAACCUUACCCAGGCUUGACAUGCACGGGAAGCCUUAUGAAAGUAGGGCCCUCCCUCAAGGACUCGUGCACAGGUGUUGCAUGGCUGUCGU
This 266-nucleotide ribosomal RNA is filed under the name uncultured bacterium. RNAcentral describes it as "partial 16S ribosomal RNA". It matches the Rfam family "Bacterial small subunit ribosomal RNA", at positions 793 to 1055 of the family's 1533-position model. The record is from RNAcentral.